AGUGUAAGAUCAGGAUCACAUGUGUCUGUGAAGAGUGACCGGUCAAAGAAUCAUGACAUACCGAACUUCAGUGAGAAAAAAACAUCAGUCAGAAGUGUAAGAUCAGGAUCACAUGUGUCCAGCUCUGUGUCUGUGAAGAGUGACCUGUCAAAGGGUGACGGACCAGACUUCAGUGAAGAAACAACAUCACGAACCAAACGGCUUAAGUAUGAAACAUUAGAUCCAGAUUUACAGUCUCACAGGAACGACAAGAAUUUUACAGACAGUCUCCU
Cyprinus carpio (common carp) is the source of this 272-nucleotide long non-coding RNA. RefSeq lists it as uncharacterized. The record is from RefSeq and is a predicted model, not a curated record. Lineage: Eukaryota; Metazoa; Chordata; Actinopteri; Cypriniformes; Cyprinidae. The transcript has 3 exons.